RNAcentral lists this ribosomal RNA (292 nucleotides) under uncultured Bacteroidota bacterium. RNAcentral describes it as "uncultured Bacteroidetes bacterium partial 16S ribosomal RNA". The record is from RNAcentral. Lineage: Bacteria; Pseudomonadati; Bacteroidota.
GGACUACCGGGGUAUCUAAUCCUGUUUGAUCCCCACGCUUUCGUGCCUCAGCGUCAAUCACCGCUUAGUUAGCUGCCUUCGCAAUAGAUGUUCUAUGUCAUAUCUAAGCAUUUCACCGCUACAUGACAUAUUCCGCUAACCUCAACGGCAUUCAAGACCAAUAGUAUCCAAGGCAGUUUCCGAGUUAAGCUCGGAGAUUUCACCCCAGACUUAAAAGUCCGCCUACGCACCCUUUAAACCCAGUGAAUCCGGAUAACGCUUGCACCCUCCGUAUUACCGCGGCUGCUGGCAC